GACUCACCUUGCCCCGCCUCGCACACCUGUCCCUCAUUAGGCGCAACAGCGCUGCCAGAAGGGAAAGGCAACUGAGAAUACAUGAAACAGGUGGGAGCGCGUGUUACUCCCUCGACCGGCACAGCUAACGCCACCUGACUCCCGGGGAUGAGAAACAGGUAAGAAACGGGGGACAUGUAGACUGGAUCAGGCGGCCCAGGUGAGGGAACGCUAAUCACCUGUACGGAACACCUGC
This is a long non-coding RNA of Eriocheir sinensis (Chinese mitten crab), 235 nucleotides long. RefSeq lists it as uncharacterized. The transcript has 3 exons. NCBI's taxonomy places the organism in Eukaryota, Metazoa, Arthropoda, Malacostraca, Decapoda, Varunidae. The record is from RefSeq and is a predicted model, not a curated record.